Long non-coding RNA from Leptidea sinapis, 472 nucleotides. RefSeq lists it as uncharacterized. The record is from RefSeq and is a predicted model, not a curated record. The transcript is spliced from 2 exons. Lineage: Eukaryota; Metazoa; Arthropoda; Insecta; Lepidoptera; Pieridae.
ACUUCCUAAUAAUCAGUGAAAGAUAAACAACAAAUUUCUUCAACAAAAAUACAUUACAAUAUUUAAAAUGAAAACCUUACUCAUAAUUCUUACUGUUUUCGUGGUAGCUUUAAUAUCUGUGACCAGGAGCACCCAUUUAGAUUGUGUUGAAAAUCCCGUAGAAGGUGUAGUCGAUUCAUCGACGGAAGUAGUGGAGCUAUUCAGUGGCGCGGGAGUCUCUCGUCAACGUAUCUGUACGGCAGCGCUGUGUCGCAGUGUGUGUCAGUCACUCGGAUUCCCGAUAUCCUUCUGUAACAUUCAACUCAUCUGUGUCUGCAGACGUUAAUAUUACUUCCUUGUUUAAUUAUAAUAAUAAUUUAAUUUAUAUUAUUUAUUAUUCCUAGUUUGUAUGUUCUGCGUUUCUAAAUGUCUAAUUUACAUAUUGUUAAUUAGUUAAUUUAUUCGAUUAAAAAAAUUAUAUUAAAAUGUUCAA